GAUGAACGCUGGCGGCGUGCCUAAUACAUGCAAGUCGAGCGAACGGACGAGAAGCUUGCUUCUCUGAUGUUAGCGGCGGACGGGUGAGUAACACGUGGAUAACCUACCUAUAAGACUGGGAUAACUUCGGGAAACCGGAGCUAAUACCGGAUAAUAUUUUGAACCGCAUGGUUCAAAAGUGAAAGACGGUCUUGCUGUCACUUAUAGAUGGAUCCGCGCUGCAUUAGCUAGUUGGUAAGGUAACGGCUUACCAAGGCAACGAUGCAUAGCCGACCUGAGAGGGUGAUCGGCCACACGGGAACUGAGACACGGUCCAGACGCCUACGGGAGGAAGCAGUAGGGAAUCUUCCGCGAGGGGCGAGAGCCUGACGGAGCAACGCCGCGUGAGUGAUGAAGGUCUUCGGAUCGUAAAACGCUGUUAGUAGGGAAGAACAUAUGUGUAAGUACCUGUGCACAUCUUGACGGUACCUAAUCAGAAAGCCACGGCUAACUACGUG
Molecule: ribosomal RNA, 497 nt
Filed under: uncultured bacterium
Lineage: Bacteria
Description: partial 16S ribosomal RNA
Rfam family: Bacterial small subunit ribosomal RNA
Source: RNAcentral